RNAcentral lists this ribosomal RNA (253 nucleotides) under uncultured bacterium. RNAcentral describes it as "partial 16S ribosomal RNA". It matches the Rfam family "Bacterial small subunit ribosomal RNA", at positions 524 to 776 of the family's 1533-position model. The record is from RNAcentral.
UACGUAGGUGGCAAGCGUUGUCCGGAAUUAUUGGGCGGAAAGCGCGCGCAGGUGGUUUCUUAAGUCUGAUGUGAAAGCCCACGGCUCAACCGUGGAGGGUCAUUGGAAACUGGGGAACUUGAGUGCAGGAGAGAAGAGUGGAAUUCCACGUGUAGCGGUGAAAUGCGUAGAGAUGUGGAGGAACACCAGUGGCGAAGGCGACUCUUUGGCCUGUAACUGACACUGAGGCGCGAAAGCGUGGGGAGCAAACAGG